UACUCUGGAGAGUCUUGUUUGCUCAAGCGCCGAAGGUGUACGGCUUUUUAAGCUAAUCUCUCAGGCAAAAGGACAGAGC
RNAcentral lists this non-coding RNA (79 nucleotides) under Candidatus Neoanaerotignum tabaqchaliae. RNAcentral describes it as "Glycine riboswitch". It matches the Rfam family "Glycine riboswitch aptamer", at positions 9 to 86 of the family's 94-position model. From Rfam's summary of the family: This family represents the bacterial glycine riboswitch. Glycine riboswitches usually consist of two metabolite-binding aptamers domains with similar structures in tandem. Lineage: Bacteria; Bacillati; Bacillota; Clostridia. The record is from RNAcentral.